GACGAACGCUGGCGGCGUGCUUAACACAUGCAAGUCGAACGGAAAGGCCCUGCUUUUGUGGGGUGCUCGAGUGGCGAACGGGUGAGUAACACGUGAGUAACCUGCCCUUGACUUUGGGAUAACUUCAGGAAACUGGGGCUAAUACCGGAUAGGAGCUCCUGCUGCAUGGUGGGGGUUGGAAAGUUUCGGCGGUUGGGGAUGGACUCGCGGCUUAUCAGCUUGUUGGUGGGGUAGUGGCUUACCAAGGCUUUGACGGGUAGCCGGCCUGAGAGGGUGACCGGCGACGGUGGGGGGGGGGUGCGGCCAAGGGUGAGGCGGGCGGCGGGGGGGGGGAGGAGGGGGCGGGGGGCGGGAGGGGGCGGACGCGCCGCCGGGGGGGGGGGGACGGGCGUGUGGUUGUAAACCGCUUUCGCGUGUUGGGGGUGGUGGGUGACGGGAAGGGGAAAGGAAGAACCGCGUAAAUACGCGCCCGCGGCGGGGUUAAUUCUCGGAAGGGCACACGUCUGUCC
This 509-nucleotide ribosomal RNA is filed under the name uncultured bacterium. RNAcentral describes it as "partial 16S ribosomal RNA". The stretch from base 20 to 329 matches the Rfam family "Bacterial small subunit ribosomal RNA", at positions 47 to 358 of the family's 1533-position model. The record is from RNAcentral.